AACGAACGCUGGCGGCAUGCCUAACACAUGCAAGUCGAACGAGACCUUCGUGUCUAGUUGCGCACGGGUGCGUAACGCGUGGGAACCUGCCCUUAGGUUCGGAAUACCUCCCCGUAAGGGGUGCUAAUACCGGAUAAUUUCUUCGGACCAAAGAUUUAUCGCCUUUGGAUGGGCCCGCGUUGGAUUAGCUAGUUGGUAGGGUAAAAGCCUACCAAGGCGAGGAUCCAUAGCUGGUAUGAGAGGAUGAGCAGCGACACUGGGACUGAGACACGGCCCAGACUCCUACGGGAGGGAGCAGUGGGGAAUAUUGGACAAUGGGGGAAAGCAUGAUCCAGCAAGGCCGGGUGAGUGAUGAAGGCCUUAGGGUUGUAAAGCUCUUUUACCCGGGAUGAUAAUGACAGUACCGGGAGAAUAAGCUCCGGCUAACUCCGUG
This 433-nucleotide ribosomal RNA is filed under the name uncultured bacterium. RNAcentral describes it as "partial 16S ribosomal RNA". It matches the Rfam family "Bacterial small subunit ribosomal RNA", at positions 29 to 507 of the family's 1533-position model. The record is from RNAcentral.